This 243-nucleotide ribosomal RNA is filed under the name uncultured bacterium. RNAcentral describes it as "partial 16S ribosomal RNA". It matches the Rfam family "Bacterial small subunit ribosomal RNA", at positions 529 to 771 of the family's 1533-position model. The record is from RNAcentral.
AGGUGGCAAGCGUUGUCCGGAAUUAUUGGGCGUAAAGCGCGCGCAGGCGGUUUCUUAAGUCUGAUGUGAAAUCUCGUGGCUCAACCACGAACGGUCAUUGGAAACUGGGAAACUUGAGUACAGAAGAGAAGAGUGGAAUUCCACGUGUAGCGGUGAAAUGCGUAGAGAUGUGGAGGAACACCAGUGGCGAAGGCGACUCUUUGGUCUGUAACUGACGCUGAGGCGCGAAAGCGUGGGGAGCAA